UGCAAAAUCUGUGCUCUGGGUUGAC
This 25-nucleotide non-coding RNA is filed under the name Rattus norvegicus (Norway rat). Lineage: Eukaryota; Metazoa; Chordata; Mammalia; Rodentia; Muridae. The record is from RNAcentral.